CCCUUAGAUGUCCUGGGCCGCACGCGCGUUACACUGAUGCAUUCAACGAGCUUAUAACCUUGGCCGAGAGGCCUGGGCAAUCUUGUUAACGUGCAUCGUGAUAGGGAUAGAUUGUUGAAAUUAUUAAUCUUGAACGAGGAAUUCCUAGUAAACGCAGAUCAUCAAUCUGCAUUGAUUACGUCCCUGCCCUUUGUACACACCGCCCGUCGCACCUACCGAUUGGAUGGUCCGGUGAAGCCUCGGGAUUGUGGUUCUUGCCGCUUUAUUGUGGCGUGACCGCGAGAACUUGUCUAAACCUUAUCAUCUAGAGGAAGGUGAAGUCGUAACA
RNAcentral lists this ribosomal RNA (328 nucleotides) under uncultured eukaryote. Its description in RNAcentral is "partial 18S ribosomal RNA". It matches the Rfam family "Eukaryotic small subunit ribosomal RNA", at positions 1470 to 1796 of the family's 1831-position model. The record is from RNAcentral.